This is a long non-coding RNA of Cebus imitator (Panamanian white-faced capuchin), 667 nucleotides long. RefSeq lists it as uncharacterized. The transcript is spliced from 2 exons. The record is from RefSeq and is a predicted model, not a curated record. NCBI's taxonomy places the organism in Eukaryota, Metazoa, Chordata, Mammalia, Primates, Cebidae.
CUUCCUUAUAGACUGAAAUUCUGAAAUCCUUUUGUGCCUGGCCUUUCCAUCCUUCAACUUCCCCUCUCCCACACUGUGAAUGAUUUUAUUGGAUACUUUUGUUUUUUUCUCAGUGACAGGGGAACAUAUUUGGUGCUAAUGUAUCUGUGACCCAGAUGCUUCUUUUUCUAGUAUGCAUUUAUUUUUUAGCAAACAUUUAUAUCCAUCCUUUUUCACUGUCUUUUGAAAAUAACUAAGCAAUAUCUCAUCUGAGGUAGGCCGUCUCUAAUGGUUGUAUUCUGAGGGAGAAAAGCUAAUCUGUUCUCUUUCCUCUGCAUUCCAGGAACAGUAAGAAGAGCUUGUGCAUGAAUAAUUUGUUUCCACACUACAAAGUGGCAGAAGAAUCCCAAGCUUCUUAGAGAACCCAGUGACUUUUCACACCUUAAAUCUGUUAAAUCUUCAUGUUUUCUUCUGCCACAUGCAUAGUUCAAACAUACAAAGAUGAAGCAAAGUCAGACGCAUUCCUGAAGGAACCCAAGAAAUUCCUCUCUUUCUCUCUCUAGAACAAAAUGAAUUCUUUAGACCAUCAGUUCUAACCUUCAAAAACCAAACCUGUUUGUGAGAUCUCCUUUAAAUACUACUGUAGACCCCAGGGUUUAUUCAUUAAAUUUUUUAGAUAAUUGUUUUA